RNA transcript from Athalia rosae (coleseed sawfly), 2327 nucleotides. It is a transcript of the gene named major royal jelly protein 1-like, with no coding region annotated. Lineage: Eukaryota; Metazoa; Arthropoda; Insecta; Hymenoptera; Athaliidae. The record is from RefSeq and is a predicted model, not a curated record. The transcript has 6 exons.
ACGUCCGCACAGAUGUUCCUACGCUCACAGAAUACUCGCUUACAUCACUCGAGCAACUCGAUCAUCCCAACAAACGCCGUCGAUUGUAUUCCGUAUUCCGCAGGGUCUUCGAUAAAAAAUCCCAAUACAAUCGAAAUCGAGUACAUACAUGGUGGUAAAAAAUAAUCUUUCCGUAUAAAUUGACGCACCCAAUUCAUCGAGCGUGAAUCUUUUCUUUCCGCGAACCGAAUUUCCAGUCAUAUCCCGGUCGUUUCUUCGCAGAAUUGGGAUACGAGUCCUUUGGAAUGAGGAAUAAAAACUCGUUAUGACCGCGACUGACAAUGAGGCGAGAAAAUCGCUCGUGUGUCACAAAUCCGACGCAAUCCGUAAUUUUCAACGGUCACCGAUACCUUUGUCGUUAUACACACCUUUGAAUCCCAGCCAUCUUAUCGUUGCAGAUAAUUCCUAAUAUAAAAAGGGCGCAGAAUAAUCAAAUUCCAGUCGAAAUGAAAUCCCAGACGAUUCAGACACUGUCCAUCCUAUUGGCAUCCGCCACAUUUUGCAUGGGUGGAUUGGAUGUCUUGUACGAAUGGAAAUACAUCGCUUACGAAUGGGAUAAUCCAUACGACGAGUCAUCCUCCAGGUCAGACGGACGGUACGACCGGAAGAGGAUAGUUCCCAAUGACGUUCAACAGCUCUCUGAUGGUCGUGUUCUGGUAACAACUCCGAAGUAUUACGACAACCCCGCAAGUUUGUCGAUCGUGUCAAGUAGAAGCGAGAAUGGUGGCCCGCUUUUGGCACCCUAUCCCAGUUGGGAUUGGCACAAGAAGUCGGGUGACUGUUCCGGCAUCACCAGUGUCAACAGAGUCAGAGUGGACCGAUGCAAUCGGCUUUGGGUCGUCGAUUCCGGCAAAAUAGGCGACGAACAAGUGUGCCCCGCUAAAAUUUUAACCUUCGAUCCCACUACGGAUGAAUUGUUGGACACUUUUGAAAUUCCAACCGAGUUGACCUACAACCCCGACGAUCCGAGCCAAGGAAGAGUGGAGAUCCAGGUCGUCGAAACGAUCGGCGAUAAUUGUGAACAGACUUGGGCAUACAUAGGUGAUCCGGAAGGUUUUGGUCUCCUCAUCUACAAUGGGACAAGUAUUUGGCGCCUCAACGACAAGAUCUUCGCACCGGAAGCAGAACAAACGAACUUCGUAAUAGACAAUGAAAGUGUAAGAUUGGAUAUCGGAGUAGGCAGCAUGCUUUUACCCCCGUCGGGAUUCGUCGAGGAACAACCGGUACUCUUCAAGCCUCUGGCGUCCGUCAAAGGAUACGCGGCGACCCGCGAACAGAUGCACUACUCCUAUUCGGGAAUAGAUAUCCAGUACUACAUGUGCAACUACACUAUACCGAGCCAAGAACUUGCCAGGGAUUACUCGUCGGACGGUGUCUUGAUUGCCGGUUUUCCCCUGCAAACAGCCAUCGCUUGCUGGAACCUUCAGUAUCCUCUGGUCGAUCCUUACGUGGAAAUUUUGGACCAAGAUUCAGAGAAGCUGCAGUUCGUCAGCGGUCUGAAAAUCACCAAAGGAAUCCAAAAUGGCGUCGAGGGCGAAAAUGUCUGGGUGAUGACCAAUCGUUACCAGAAGUUUCGUUUGGGAUCUCUGGAUUUCUCCGACGUGAAUUUCAGGAUUUUAGGAUCGAACGUCGCAGAUCUCGUCAAGGGCACUUAUUGCGAGACGAAGUCGCACGAGCUCGUCCCUACGAUGGAAGAAAAAUUUUUCUUUAAAAUAGAAAACUAGCUGCCCUUAGGCCAGACCACGAGGACUCGAUUGCAAAUCGGCAAUUUUCGAAUCUUAAUAACUUUCUUUCGAAUAGUUGCAAAAUCUAAAUAAAUUAUAAUUCGACAUGCCGGAGAAUUUUCGAGGUGCCGAUAUGUGUAUGAGAACGGGUAACGUGGCAACGGAUCCAAUGAAAAUACCCGACUUCAAAAAAGCUCUUGCACAGUUCCUGACUCGUAUACGAGACGAUCAUCGGCCCCUCAUUUCGCAAGGCCUUCGAAAAGGAAACGUUCGAAAUAUCGAGCGGUGAAUCUUACCCGAGAUCAACGGGUACGUUCCACUUAUUUUAUUUAUGAUCCUGUGAGGAGUGCGCUGGAAUUUGAAAUGAUAUGCACCGUUUAUACGACCAGCUACCAUUUCGCAACCGGUUCUAUCCACAUAUGAGUAAGGUAAACAAACAUGAUUGUUUACCGUGUUGUAUCGAGAACGGAAUUACUCGUUUUAUCCGACACGUUGGUAUACUCGUGUAUAUUUGUUCACAUCGAUCGAGCAAAUCGUCUAUUCCAACAAGAGCAGUCGUUACGA